Molecule: ribosomal RNA, 377 nt
Filed under: uncultured eukaryote
Lineage: Eukaryota
Description: partial 18S ribosomal RNA
Rfam family: Eukaryotic small subunit ribosomal RNA
Source: RNAcentral
CAAUAGCGUAUAUUAAAGUUGUUGCAGUUAAAAAGCUCGUAGUUGGAUUUCGGGGCAGCCUGGCUGGUCCGCCGCAAGGCGAGUACUGGUCAGCCGCCCUUCCUCUCGAAAGCCCCGACUGCUCUUCGUUGCAGUGGUCGGGUAGUUCGGGACGUUUACUUUGAAAAAAUUAGAGUGUUCAAGGCAGGCCUACGCCUGAAUACAUUAGCAUGGAAUAAUGGAAGAGGACCUCGGUCCUAUUUUGUUGGUUUCCAGGGCCGAAGUAAUGAUUAAGAGGGACAGUUGGGGGCAUUCGUAUUUAAUUGUCAGAGGUGAAAUUCUCGGAUUCAUGAAAGACGAACAACUGCGAAAGCAUUUGCCAAGGAUGUUUUCAUUAA